Molecule: ribosomal RNA, 637 nt
Filed under: uncultured bacterium
Lineage: Bacteria
Description: bacterial SSU rRNA
Rfam family: Bacterial small subunit ribosomal RNA
Source: RNAcentral
GGAUGGCAUAGUCUUCCCGCAUGGGAUGAUUAUUAAAGAAUUUCGGUUGUCGAUGGGGAUGCGUUCCAUUAGGCAGUUGGCGGGGUAACGGCCCACCAAACCAACGAUGGAUAGGGGUUCUGAGAGGAAGGUCCCCCACAUUGGAACUGAGACACGGUCCAAACUCCUACGGGAGGCAGCAGUGAGGAAUAUUGGUCAAUGGACGAGAGUCUGAACCAGCCAAGUAGCGUGAAGGAUGACUGCCCUAUGGGUUGUAAACUUCUUUUAUACGGGAAUAAAGUGAGCCACGUGUGGCUUUUUGUAUGUACCGUAUGAAUAAGGAUCGGCUAACUCCGUGCCAGCAGCCGCGGUAAUACGGAGGAUCCGAGCGUUAUCCGGAUUUAUUGGGUUUAAAGGGAGCGUAGGCGGGUUGUUAAGUCAGUUGUGAAAGUUUGCGGCUCAACCGUAAAAUUGCAGUUGAUACUGGCGACCUUGAGUGCAACAGAGGUAGGCGGAAUUCGUGGUGUAGCGGUGAAAUGCUUAGAUAUCACGAAGAACUCCGAUUGCGAAGGCAGCUUACUGGAUUGUAACUGACGCUGAUGCUCGAAAGUGUGGGUAUCAAACAGGAUUAGAUACCCUGGUAGUCCACACAGUAAAC